ACGGGAGGCAGCAGUGGGGAAUAUUGCACAAUGGGCGCAAGCCUGAUGCAGCGAUGCCGCGUGAGGGAAGAAGGUUUUCGGAUUGUAAACCUCUGUCAACAGGGACGAAAAUGACGGUACCUGUGAAGGAAGCUCCGGCUAACUACGUGCCAGCAGCCGCGGUAAUACGUAGGGAGCAAGCGUUAUCCGGAAUUACUGGGUGUAAAGGGUGUGUAGGCGGGAAUGCAAGUCAGAUGUGAAAAUCAUGGGCUCAACCCAUGACCUGCGUCUGAAACUGUAUUUCUUGAGAGUGGGAGAGGUAAAUGGAAUUCCUGGUGUAGCGGUGAAAUGCGUAGAUAUCAGGAGGAACACCGGUGGCGAAGGCGAUUUACUGGACCACAACUGACGCUGAGACACGAAAGCGUGGGGAGCAAACAGGAUUAGAUACCCUGGUA
RNAcentral lists this ribosomal RNA (434 nucleotides) under uncultured Ruminococcus sp. Its description in RNAcentral is "partial 16S ribosomal RNA". It matches the Rfam family "Bacterial small subunit ribosomal RNA", at positions 341 to 792 of the family's 1533-position model. The record is from RNAcentral. Lineage: Bacteria; Bacillati; Bacillota; Clostridia; Eubacteriales; Oscillospiraceae.